This is a non-coding RNA of Araneus ventricosus, 71 nucleotides long. NCBI's taxonomy places the organism in Eukaryota, Metazoa, Arthropoda, Arachnida, Araneae, Araneidae. The record is from the annotation of a GenBank genome assembly.
GCUGUGGCCUAGUGGUAAGGUCUCGGCUUCGAGUCCGGAGAGUUCCAGGUUCGAAACCUGAUAUUACAGUG